RNAcentral lists this ribosomal RNA (240 nucleotides) under Staphylococcus agnetis. RNAcentral's name for it is "partial 16S ribosomal RNA". It matches the Rfam family "Bacterial small subunit ribosomal RNA", at positions 1 to 230 of the family's 1533-position model. Lineage: Bacteria; Bacillati; Bacillota; Bacilli; Caryophanales; Staphylococcaceae. The record is from RNAcentral.
UUUAUGGAGAGUUUGAUCCUGGCUCAGGAUGAACGCUGGCGGCGUGCCUAAUACAUGCAAGUCGAGCGAACUGACGAGGAGCUUGCUCCUUUGACGUUAGCGGCGGACGGGUGAGUAACACGUGGGUAACCUACCUAUAAGACUGGAAUAACUCCGGGAAACCGGGGCUAAUGCCGGAUAACAUGUUGAACCGCAUGGUUCAACAGUGAAAGACGGUCUUGCUGUCACUUAUAGAUGGAC